RNAcentral lists this ribosomal RNA (497 nucleotides) under uncultured bacterium. Its description in RNAcentral is "partial 16S ribosomal RNA". It matches the Rfam family "Bacterial small subunit ribosomal RNA", at positions 28 to 507 of the family's 1533-position model. The record is from RNAcentral.
GAUGAACGCUGGCGGCGUGCCUAAUACAUGCAAGUCGAGCGAACGGACGAGAAGCUUGCUUCUCUGAUGUUAGCGGCGGACGGGUGAGUAACACGUGGAAAACCUACCUAUAAGACUGGGAUAACUUCGGGAAACCGGAGCUAAUACCGGAUAAUAUUUUGAACCGCAUGGUUCAAUAGUGAAAGACGGUCUUGCUGUCACUUAUAGAUGGAUCCGCGCUGCAUUAGCUAGUUGGUAAGGUAACGGCUUACCAAGGCAACGAUGCAUAGCCGACCUGAGAGGGUGAUCGGCCACACUGGAACUGAGACACGGUCCAGACUCCUACGGGAGGCAGCAGUAGGGAAUCUUCCGCAAUGGGCGAAAGCCUGACGGAGCAACGCCGCGUGAGUGAUGAAGGUCUUCGGAUCGUAAAACUCUGUUAUUAGGGAAGAACAUAUGUGUAAGUAACUGUGCACAUCUUGACGGUACCUAAUCAGAAAGCCACGGCUAACUACGUG